RNAcentral lists this transfer RNA (67 nucleotides) under Rugitermes flavicinctus. Its description in RNAcentral is "tRNA-Ile". Lineage: Eukaryota; Metazoa; Arthropoda; Insecta; Blattodea; Kalotermitidae. The record is from RNAcentral.
AAUGUGGAGCCUGAUUAAAGGAUUAUCGUGAUAGGAUAAAAUAUGUGAUGAAGAAUUACUCAUAUUG